AGCCACGCAGUGAGCACAAAGCGAAUUAUUCUUUUGCUUUUUACUAAAGAAUAUCGUGUGUGUGUUAAAAUUAGUGGCAUAUGCUAAUUUUUGGAGGGGUUUUCUCCUUUGAGUACC
Molecule: small nuclear RNA, 117 nt
Organism: Lycium barbarum (goji berry)
Lineage: Eukaryota; Viridiplantae; Streptophyta; Magnoliopsida; Solanales; Solanaceae
Product: U5 spliceosomal RNA
Exons: 1
Source: RefSeq, a predicted model, not a curated record